GCUACGCACAACCCGCGUGGGGGCAAGUGCUGAGCGGACGCUGCCGGCCGCGUGGAGGCUCGGAGGAAGCAGGUGCCCAGGCGAGGCUCUUGCAGAUUUAGAUCCAGUCCGCGUCCUCCCACCUAGGGCAAGCUCUGGGCAAGACUGGGCCACCGUUACCUCGCUCUCACCCCACCCUUCCCGCCCCAACUCUCCUGCUCCUCGCCAAUGCCUGGAUCCUUCCUGGGAGAAUUAUGGUUUCGGGAACCAAGGGACAAGGACCCCAAAAUCAGAGAGAGGAGGUCGUUUGUUGGUGGCCCUACAGCAAGCUGAGACCCAGCUCCCCAGCCUCCUGACUUUCAGCCCAGCACUCUGCCCACACCCCACGCUGCUGCGCGUGCAGCCACUCAGUGACUAACCAGGGAGGAGGGGGCUGCAACGAGCUCCCACCGAAAUAGGCUGCUGCCUGUGCGUGAUUAUGUUGCUAUGAGAACCUCAGUGGGUGUGUUUCCUCCGUUCGCUGUCGAAAUCUUUUGCUUGGCUUGGCUUCUCCCCAAGCAUAGACACGGCUCCCCUUGGAAUGGGGAGUGGAGAGGCUGAGAUAGGGAACUACGUUUUCACAGCAACAGUUUUCUAGCCCAGCCCACCCUACCAGAGCCUGCCUGGGGCUGUGAGUAAGGAGCCCAGGCCACCAGGGUGGUUCCAUAAAGGCUGGGAGGAGAAGAGUGAACCAUCUCGACAGUGGCUACUUCAUCCCCCUUUUGAGCCAUCUUGGAACAGAGACAUGCUGUCCCUACUAUGCAACCACCUAACUACAAAUUCACAAACAAAAUAACUGUUACUUUAAGAGAC
Molecule: non-coding RNA, 831 nt
Organism: Microcebus murinus (gray mouse lemur)
Lineage: Eukaryota; Metazoa; Chordata; Mammalia; Primates; Cheirogaleidae
Source: RefSeq, a predicted model, not a curated record